RNAcentral lists this ribosomal RNA (779 nucleotides) under uncultured Haemophilus sp. RNAcentral's name for it is "bacterial SSU rRNA". It matches the Rfam family "Bacterial small subunit ribosomal RNA", at positions 73 to 851 of the family's 1533-position model. The record is from RNAcentral. Lineage: Bacteria; Pseudomonadati; Pseudomonadota; Gammaproteobacteria; Pasteurellales; Pasteurellaceae.
AGCUUGCUUUCUUGCUGACGAGUGGCGGACGGGUGAGUAAUGCUUGGGAAUCUGGCUUAUGGAGGGGGAUAACGACGGGAAACUGUCGCUAAUACCGCGUAUUAUCGGAAGAUGAAAGUGCGGGACUGAGAGGCCGCAUGCCAUAGGAUGAGCCCAAGUGGGAUUAGGUAGUUGGUGGGGUAAAGGCCUACCAAGCCAGCGAUCUCUAGCUGGUCUGAGAGGAUGACCAGCCACACUGGAACUGAGACACGGUCCAGACUCCUACGGGAGGCAGCAGUGGGGAAUAUUGCGCAAUGGGGGGAACCCUGACGCAGCCAUGCCGCGUGAAUGAAGAAGGCCUUCGGGUUGUAAAGUUCUUUCGGUAUUGAGGAAGGUUGAUGUGUUAAUAGCACACCAAAUUGACGUUAAAUACAGAAGAAGCACCGGCUAACUCCGUGCCAGCAGCCGCGGUAAUACGGAGGGUGCGAGCGUUAAUCGGAAUAACUGGGCGUAAAGGGCACGCAGGCGGUUAUUUAAGUGAGGUGUGAAAGCCCCGGGCUUAACCUGGGAAUUGCAUUUCAGACUGGGUAACUAGAGUACUUUAGGGAGGGGUAGAAUUCCACGUGUAGCGGUGAAAUGCGUAGAGAUGUGGAGGAAUACCGAAGGCGAAGGCAGCCCCUUGGGAAUGUACUGACGCUCAUGUGCGAAAGCGUGGGGAGCAAACAGGAUUAGAUACCCUGGUAGUCCACGCUGUAAACGCUGUCGAUUUGGGGGUUGGGGUUUAACUCUGGCGCCCGUAG